This 440-nucleotide ribosomal RNA is filed under the name uncultured bacterium. RNAcentral describes it as "partial 16S ribosomal RNA". It matches the Rfam family "Bacterial small subunit ribosomal RNA", at positions 338 to 795 of the family's 1533-position model. The record is from RNAcentral.
CCUACGGGUGGCAGCAGUAGGGAAUAUUGCUCAAUGGGGGAAACCCUGAAGCAGCAACGCCGCGUGGAGGAUGAAGGUUUUCGGAUUGUAAACUCCUUUUGUUAGAGAAGAUAAUGACGGUAUUUAACGAAUAAGCACCGGCUAACACCGUGCCAGCUGCCGGGGUAAUACGGAGGGUGCAAGCGUUACUCGGAAUCUCUGGGCGUAAAGCGCGCGUAGGCGGGAUAGCAAGUCCGAUGUGAAAUCCUAUGGCUUAACCCUAGAACUGCAUUUGAAACUGGUGUUCUGGAGUAGGGGAGAGGUAGGUGGAAUUCUUGGUGUAGGGGUAAAAUCCGUAGAGAUCGAGAGGAAUACUCAUUGCGAAGGCGACCUGCUGGAACAUAACUGACGCUGAUGCACGAAAGCGUGGGGAGCGAACAGGAUUAGAUACCCUAGUAGUC